RNAcentral lists this ribosomal RNA (120 nucleotides) under uncultured bacterium. Its description in RNAcentral is "partial 16S ribosomal RNA". It matches the Rfam family "Bacterial small subunit ribosomal RNA", at positions 215 to 334 of the family's 1533-position model. The record is from RNAcentral.
GCGCCGAUGGAGUGCCUCGCGGCCUAUCAGCUAGUUGGUGGGGUAACGGCCUACCAAGGCAACGACGGGUAGCUGGUCUGAGAGGAUGGCCAGCCACAUUGGGACUGAGACACGGCCCAG